This 71-nucleotide transfer RNA is filed under the name Loxodonta africana (African savanna elephant). It matches the Rfam family "tRNA". Rfam says of the family: Transfer RNA (tRNA) molecules are approximately 80 nucleotides in length. Their secondary structure includes four short double-helical elements and three loops (D, anti-codon, and T loops). Lineage: Eukaryota; Metazoa; Chordata; Mammalia; Proboscidea; Elephantidae. The record is from Rfam by way of RNAcentral.
GCAGUGGUGGUGCAGGGGUACGAUUCCUGCCUUCUGUGCAGGAGACCUGGGUUUGAUUCCCAGCCAACGCG